AUCUGACGAGUACAAUAUGUUAACAUACACGGGCAACACAUUAUCUUUAUCUUUAUUAUAUUUCACGAUCCUUACGUUCUCUGAAAUUCAAAACCCUAAUUGUCGAACCUCAUCGCCUCUACGCUCCAGUGCGAUCCCCAAUUUCAUCGGAGGGAAGAUGAGUAGCCGUGCGAGCAGAACUCUAUAUGUGGGGAAUCUUCCUGGUGAUAUUCGUGAGAGGGAAGUGGAAGAUUUGUUUUACAAGUAUGGACGAAUUGCCCAUAUUGACCUUAAGGUCCCUCCUAGGCCCCCUGGUUAUGCGUUUGUUGAGUUUGAGGAUGCUAGAGAUGCUGAAGAUGCAAUCCGUGGUCGUGAUGGCUAUGAUUUUGAUGGGCAUCGUUUACGGGUAGAAUUAGCACAUGGAGGGCGUGGACACUCAUCAUCAUCAGAUCGUUAUAGCAGUUACAGUGGCGGUAGGGGUGGACGAGGAGUAUCAAGACGUUCAGAGUACCGUGUGUUAGUCACUGGAUUACCUUCUUCGGCAUCAUGGCAAGAUCUUAAGGAUCACAUGCGGCGUGCAGGUGAUGUUUGUUUCUCCCAAGUCUUCCGUGAUGGUAGUGGCACAACUGGGAUUGUGGACUACACCAACCAUGAUGACAUGAAGUAUGCGAUGUGAUUCUGAAUAUCUAUAAAUAUUUUGUCUGUAGAUCAAGAAACUUGAUGACUCUGAGUUCCGGAAUGCUUUUUCUCGGGCAUAUGUUCGUGUAAGGGAAUAUGAUUCAAGGAGGGACUCAUCGAGGAGUCCUAGCCGUGGUCGAUCUCAUUCAAGGAACAGGAGCUAUAGCCGAAGCCGUAGCCGAAGCCGAAGCCGUAGUCAGAGCAGAAGCAGGAGCUUUAUAACUAUAUUGCAGCAAGUCUCCAAAAGCCAAAUCUUCGCGUCGCUCACCUGCUAAAUCCCAGUCAAGGUCAAGAUCUCGAUCACGGUCAGGAUCGAAAUCACCCUCCUUGUCAGGAUAUGAUGGAUUUAUGCAGCAAACUGGGAUUGGAUAUUAGGAUCUUGAUUGGAUAUGGUUCAAUUGCUUGCAUCUCUUUUGGUUGUGGAGAUUGGGGACAAAGGAGUUCAUGGAUUACAAUAUAAGAGCUGGAUAACUGUGUACUAAGUGCCAUUGGGAUUUGGAAGUCACCAUCAAUUUGCAGUAGAGACAAUUUCACUAUCAUUACCUGCUCCAACACUUGCCAAGCUAAUAGGACGCACAUUCUGGAUUCUCUGGAAUAUUGUGGUACAGUAGGGAUGACUACUCCUCUCCUGUCCACUGAUAUCUUAUAAACAAUUAUGCUUUUCUUAAGAUUUUUCUUCUCUGAGAAUUUAGGUCAUAUAGGUGGGAAUUAUGUGAAUUGGCCUAUUCUUUUUUCGCAUUUGUUGAACUGCUAAAUAUUUGUCUGUUUUCCUUUUAUCCAUAUUGGAUCUGGUAACUCUGACGUGGAAGAGGCAUCAAGGAUCUUGGAUCAAAUUUGGUUAAAGGAACAUGUGGAAUUUAAAUUGGUUGUUUCUGGAACUUUUGCAGAUCUCGUUCAAGAUCAAGAUCACCGUUACCUUCG
This is an RNA transcript of Ziziphus jujuba (common jujube), 1578 nucleotides long. It is a transcript of the gene named serine/arginine-rich-splicing factor SR34, with no coding region annotated. The transcript has 13 exons. The record is from RefSeq and is a predicted model, not a curated record. Lineage: Eukaryota; Viridiplantae; Streptophyta; Magnoliopsida; Rosales; Rhamnaceae.